RNAcentral lists this ribosomal RNA (746 nucleotides) under uncultured Azospira sp. RNAcentral's name for it is "bacterial SSU rRNA". It matches the Rfam family "Bacterial small subunit ribosomal RNA", at positions 1 to 746 of the family's 1533-position model. Lineage: Bacteria; Pseudomonadati; Pseudomonadota; Betaproteobacteria; Rhodocyclales; Rhodocyclaceae. The record is from RNAcentral.
UACCGUUUGAUCAUGGCUCAGAUUGAACGCUGGCGGCAUGCCUUACACAUGCAAGUCGAACGGCAGCACGGGAGCUUGCNNNUGGUGGCGAGUGGCGAACGGGUGAGUAAUGCAUCGGAACGUACCCAGGAGUGGGGGAUAACUAUCCGAAAGGAUGGCUAAUACCGCAUAUUCUGUGAGCAGGAAAGCGGGGGAUCGCAAGACCUCGCGCUCUUGGAGCGGCCGAUGUCGGAUUAGCUAGUUGGUGAGGUAAAGGCUCACCAAGGCGACGAUCCGUAGCAGGUCUGAGAGGAUGAUCUGCCACACUGGGACUGAGACACGGCCCAGACUCCUACGGGAGGCAGCAGUGGGGAAUUUUGGACAAUGGGGGCAACCCUGAUCCAGCCAUGCCGCGUGAGUGAAGAAGGCCUUCGGGUUGUAAAGCUCUUUCGGCGGGGAAGAAAUAGCAACGGCUAAUAUCCGUUGUUGAUGACGGUACCCGCAUAAGAAGCACCGGCUAACUACGUGCCAGCAGCCGCGGUAAUACGUAGGGUGCGAGCGUUAAUCGGAAUUACUGGGCGUAAGGCGUGCGCAGGCGGUUUCGUAAGACAGACGUGAAAUCCCCGGGCUCAACCUGGGAACUGCGUUUGUGACUGCGAGGCUAGAGUACGGCAGAGGGGGGUAGAAUUCCACGUGUAGCAGUGAAAUGCGUAGAGAUGUGGAGGAAUACCGAUGGCGAAGGCAGCCCCCUGGGUUAGUACUGACGC